UUUUUUUAAAAAAAGGAAGUCAUUUCUGUUAAAGAAGAAUUGAUUUAGUUGGGCACUUUAAGAACUUAGUUUCUGUGCUUUAUACAGGUGACACUAACUCUGCGCGCCAUUUCAAGGGUUGUGCAUCUGGUGGUACCAGUAACAUCAAAGGGUGAUUAAUAAUCCAAUAUUAUUAAUGAAUACAUGGAUAUUGGUAUUAGAGGUCAAAU
RNAcentral lists this long non-coding RNA (209 nucleotides) under Homo sapiens (human). RNAcentral's name for it is "non-protein coding lnc-DGKE-5:1". The record is from RNAcentral. Lineage: Eukaryota; Metazoa; Chordata; Mammalia; Primates; Hominidae.